This 1002-nucleotide long non-coding RNA is filed under the name Mus spicilegus (steppe mouse). RNAcentral describes it as "lncRNA (ENSMSIG00000030923.1)". Lineage: Eukaryota; Metazoa; Chordata; Mammalia; Rodentia; Muridae. The record is from RNAcentral.
AUGAGAAGUUUUAAAAGUAACAGGGAAAAAAAAAAAAGAUGCAUGAGACCAGAGGGGUCUAGAUGGGACUAACAGGAAAGAGACAGGGACAAGAGAAGAUAAAGAGAAGUGAACAUGAUUGAAAAUACAUUAUAGACUUGAAUGAAAUUGUCAUGAAACUCAGUUAUGUAUAAUUAAUAUGGACUAAUAUAAAAAGAUAAAAGAGGUUGGCUGGCAAUUUUCAUGGAAGAACUGUUGGAACUACAUACACAUACGUCUGUAUAGAUGGCUUUCCAUCUCAGCUUCCCGGGUUGUAUGCUUGCCACUGGCUACAUACUAACUUGCCCUGCACACUUUGUAAUUACCAUGGCUUCCAUUUGAUCCCCUCCCCGCCCGCCACCCCCCCCUCCCCAGAUCUGCACAUCACCAGCAUUGGAGUCAAAGGUCUUUCCCCAUUGAUCUUGUAUUUAGCUCUGUCUUGGGAGUGGUGUGUAAAGGGUUCCCUGGUGAGGACUCGUGCUGCCACAUAAGCAGAUAGUAUCUUUCCUCCUUACUGUAUCAAGGAUUCAAAUGCAAUACAACUUAUCAUGAGAAUCUGGUGACUCUGGUUGGUAAAUCUCAGGAGUGAUGAAACAGUGGAACAGUAAAGUCUGCCUUGGCCUCAGUCUGUUAUCCAUCCUGAUUGUUAGGCACUCAAAAGUUCUCAGCUGUGAAAUGGUUCUGGAGGAUUCAGUGUUUGGAGGCAAUAGCUGGAGGGCCAGGUCAGCAGAUAAUAUCACAUCUCAUCAACAACCUCUGUAAAUGUCUCACUCCUGAGGCUGCCCUGCCAGGAGGCUUCUUUGUCUUCCAUCAUAUGUCUGUUGGUUUGCUUCUAUAGCUAUGUACUUACUCUUGCUAAAAAAGGGUAUUAAGUCCUUUGUUAUAGUUUAAAACCACAUUUUACUUGUUUCAUGUAUUUGUGAUUAUAAUGUAGUAUCCUUUUACUUUUUUUUUAACCAUUGAUAAACUUUGUCCUCAAGGAAG